UCAGCUGACGAAGAUAGUGAUUCCCGUGAGCCAAUUCCAUGAUGCGCUAAGUAUUGUCAAUUCAUUAACUCUCUGACUGGCUGACCACGUAGUCAUGCGACAUACGGAAAUCGGGAAAUGAACGACAGUUGGUCUUUAAGUAUCCAUUUAGGCGAGGUCAUCCACUGCUGUCGUCAGGUACACACCUUGCCUCGACCUCCAGUACCAUGUGGACCGCUAUGCUGGGUGCUGCUGUGUUUGUGUGUGGGUGGUGCUGUGUCGUGUCCAGGGCCCCGGACACACUGAGACUGGUCAACCUGAUAUAUCGCCAUGGUGACCGAAGUCCAUACGCAACCUAUCCGAGCAAUCCCAACAACUGGAAGGACGUCUGGCCGGAUGGAUUUGGCUGGCUGACCACUG
Molecule: long non-coding RNA, 399 nt
Organism: Haliotis rubra (blacklip abalone)
Lineage: Eukaryota; Metazoa; Mollusca; Gastropoda; Lepetellida; Haliotidae
Exons: 3
Source: RefSeq, a predicted model, not a curated record